RNAcentral lists this ribosomal RNA (397 nucleotides) under uncultured bacterium. RNAcentral describes it as "partial 16S ribosomal RNA". It matches the Rfam family "Bacterial small subunit ribosomal RNA", at positions 523 to 918 of the family's 1533-position model. The record is from RNAcentral.
AUACGUAGGUGACAAGCGUUAUCCGGAUUUACUGGGCGUAAAGGGCGUGUAGGCGGUCUUGCAAGUCAGAAGUGAAAUUCCUGAGCUCAACUCGGGCGCUGCUUCUGAAACUGCAGGACUUGAGUGCUGGAGGGGAUAGCGGAAUUCCUAGUGGAGCGGUAAAAUGCGCAGAUAUUAGGAAGAACACCGGUGGCGAAGGCGGCUAUCUUGACAGUAACUGACGCUGAGGCGCGAAAGCGUGGGGAGCGAACAGGAUUAGAUACCCUGGUAGUCCACGCGGUAAACGAUGAAUGCUAGGUGUUGCGGGUAUCGACCCCUGCAGUGCCGGAGUAAACACAAUAAGCAUUCCGCCUGGGGAGUACGGCCGCAAGGUUGAAACUCAAAGGAAUUGACGGGG